AACGAACGCUGGCGGCAUGCCUAACACAUGCAAGUCGAACGAAGGCUUCGGCCUUAGUGGCGCACGGGUGCGUAACGCGUGGGAAUCUGCCCUUUGGUUCGGAAUAACAGCUGGAAACGGCUGCUAAUACCGGAUGAUGACGAAAGUCCAAAGAUUUAUCGCCAGAGGAUGAGCCCGCGUUGGAUUAGGUAGUUGGUGGGGUAAAGGCCUACCAAGCCGACGAUCCAUAGCUGGUCUGAGAGGAUGAUCGGCCACACUGGGACUGAGACACGGCCCAGACUCCUACGGGAGGCAGCAGUGGGGAAUAUUGGACAAUGGGCGCAAGCCUGAUCCAGCAAUGCCGCGUGAGUGAUGAAGGCCCUAGGGUUGUAAAGCUCUUUUACCCGGGAAGAUAAUGACUGUACCGGGAGAAUAAGCCCCGGCUAACUCCGUG
This 433-nucleotide ribosomal RNA is filed under the name uncultured bacterium. RNAcentral's name for it is "partial 16S ribosomal RNA". It matches the Rfam family "Bacterial small subunit ribosomal RNA", at positions 29 to 507 of the family's 1533-position model. The record is from RNAcentral.